RNAcentral lists this ribosomal RNA (588 nucleotides) under uncultured bacterium. Its description in RNAcentral is "bacterial SSU rRNA". It matches the Rfam family "Bacterial small subunit ribosomal RNA", at positions 338 to 916 of the family's 1533-position model. The record is from RNAcentral.
CCUACGGGAGGCAGCAGUGGGGAAUCUUGCGCAAUGGGGGAAACCCUGACGCAGCAACGCCGCGUGGGUGAUGAAGGCCUUCGGGUCGUAAAGCCCUGUCAGGUGGGAAGAAACUUGUGGAUGUUAAUACCGUCCACACUUGACGGUACCACCGGAGGAAGCACCGGCUAACUCCGUGCCAGCAGCCGCGGUAAUACGGAGGGUGCAAGCGUUGUUCGGAAUUAUUGGGCGUAAAGCGCGUGUAGGUGGUCAGGUAAGUCAGAUGUGAAAGCCUUCUGCUUAACAGAAGAAGUGCAUUUGAAACUGCUUGGCUAGAGUACGGGAGAGGAGAGUGGAAUUCCCGGUGUAGAGGUGAAAUUCGUAGAUAUCGGGAGGAACACCAGUGGCGAAGGCGGCUCUCUGGUCCGAUACUGACGCUGAGACGCGAAAGCGUGGGGAGCAAACAGGAUUAGAUACCCUGGUAGUCCACGCCGUAAACGAUGGGCACUAGGUGUAGGAGGUAUUGACCCCUUCUGUGCCGAAGCUAACGCAUUAAGUGCCCCGCCUGGGGAGUACGGCCGCAAGGCUAAAACUCAAAGGAAUUGACGG